This 629-nucleotide long non-coding RNA is filed under the name Mytilus galloprovincialis (Mediterranean mussel). Lineage: Eukaryota; Metazoa; Mollusca; Bivalvia; Mytilida; Mytilidae. The record is from RNAcentral.
CCGGCAGUUUGAAACCCUUUUUUAACUAUCAAUUCAUUUGUAUGGGAACAUAUAUUUGGAAUCCCCUUUUCUCCUGGAUUGGACCCCUCUCCAUUUAAAAAUGGCCGGAACCCCCAAUGUAUAUUAAGUGGUUUAUGAGGAGAUGCGCUUACAAAACCGGCGAAACAUAUUGUACCGGUCCAACGGACGAACGGAAAGACGGACUUCUUUAUCACUAUAACCCCCCACUUGACAAAGUGGUGUACAAUUGAGUGUCAAAAAGACAGUUUUCUCGUUUGAAUUGUUUUACAUUGUCUUAUCGGGGCCUUUUAUAGCUUACUAUGCGGUAUGGGCUUUGCUCAUUGUUGAAGGCCGUACGAUGACCUAUAGUUGUUAAUGUCUGUGUAAAUACAUGCAUUUUUAUAUAACAACUAAAUCUGUGUGUUUGUACAAUUUUAAGUAUAACGGAGGACAUUUCUGAAACUUAUAUACUAGUAUACAUCAAACCUUCCUCUUAUUUUAGCAACAUUUAAACAUCCUUAUACUUAAUGUAGUAAGUCGAGUACACCCUAUCAAGCUAAAACAUGUUUCAUAAGUUUUCAGGAUGUGAAUGUAUUGAAAUAUAUUUGUGUUAUUUAGAAAAAUGCCAC